This 1009-nucleotide ribosomal RNA is filed under the name Salmonella enterica subsp. enterica serovar Enteritidis. RNAcentral describes it as "bacterial SSU rRNA". It matches the Rfam family "Bacterial small subunit ribosomal RNA", at positions 97 to 1102 of the family's 1533-position model. The record is from RNAcentral. Lineage: Bacteria; Pseudomonadati; Pseudomonadota; Gammaproteobacteria; Enterobacterales; Enterobacteriaceae.
GGCGGACGGGUGAGUAAUGUCUGGGAAACUGCCUGAUGGAGGGGGAUAACUACUGGAAACGGUGGCUAAUACCGCAUAACGUCGCAAGACCAAAGAGGGGGACCUUCGGGCCUCUUGCCAUCAGAUGUGCCCAGAUGGGAUUAGCUUGUUGGUGAGGUAACGGCUCACCAAGGCGACGAUCCCUAGCUGGUCUGAGAGGAUGACCAGCCACACUGGAACUGAGACACGGUCCAGACUCCUACGGGAGGCAGCAGUGGGGAAUAUUGCACAAUGGGCGCAAGCCUGAUGCAGCCAUGCCGCGUGUAUGAAGAAGGCCUUCGGGUUGUAAAGUACUUUCAGCGGGGAGGAAGGUGUUGUGGUUAAUAACCGCAGCAAUUGACGUUACCCGCAGAAGAAGCACCGGCUAACUCCGUGCCAGCAGCCGCGGUAAUACGGAGGGUGCAAGCGUUAAUCGGAAUUACUGGGCGUAAAGCGCACGCAGGCGGUCUGUCAAGUCGGAUGUGAAAUCCCCGGGCUCAACCUGGGAACUGCAUUCGAAACUGGCAGGCUUGAGUCUUGUAGAGGGGGGUAGAAUUCCAGGUGUAGCGGUGAAAUGCGUAGAGAUCUGGAGGAAUACCGGUGGCGAAGGCGGCCCCCUGGACAAAGACUGACGCUCAGGUGCGAAAGCGUGGGGAGCAAACAGGAUUAGAUACCCUGGUAGUCCACGCCGUAAACGAUGUCUACUUGGAGGUUGUGCCCUUGAGGCGUGGCUUCCGGAGCUAACGCGUUAAGUAGACCGCCUGGGGAGUACGGCCGCAAGGUUAAAACUCAAAUGAAUUGACGGGGGCCCGCACAAGCGGUGGAGCAUGUGGUUUAAUUCGAUGCAACGCGAAGAACCUUACCUGGUCUUGACAUCCACAGAAGAAUCCAGAGAUGGAUUUGUGCCUUCGGGAACUGUGAGACAGGUGCUGCAUGGCUGUCGUCAGCUCGUGUUGUGAAAUGUUGGGUUAAGUCCCGCAACGAGCGCAAC